CCGUCACCCUGAGACGGGCGGCGGCGGGAUGGCAACAGCCUCCGGGGCCUCGGACUUGUCUGGCUCCGGAGCGCCCCCGCCCGGUGUGGGAGCUCAGGCGGCGGCGGCCGCUGAGGAGGAGGAGCGAGAGGUGGUGCGGGUCCGAGUCAAGGCCCAUUGCUAGAAGACUGGGACAUAAUCAGCCCCAAAGAUGUCAUUGGCUCCGACGUGUUGCUGGCUGAGAAACGGUCAUCACUGACGACUGCCGCCCUGCCCUUUACACAGUCCAUCCUCACUCAGGUGGGCCGUACCUUGUCUAAGGUCCAACAAGUGCUGAGCUGGUCGUAUGGGGAAGAUGUCAAGCCCUUCAAGCCACCCCUGAGCGAUGCUGAGUUUCACACGUACCUGAACCACGAGGGCCAGCUCUCCCGACCCGAGGAGUUGCGCCUGCGGAUCUAUCAUGGCGGUGUGGAGCCCUCGCUGCGAAAGGUGGUGUGGCGGUACCUGCUGAACGUGUAUCCAGAUGGACUGACAGGCCGAGAGCGGAUGGACUACAUGAAA
This 540-nucleotide small RNA is filed under the name Pan troglodytes (chimpanzee). RNAcentral's name for it is "processed transcript". Lineage: Eukaryota; Metazoa; Chordata; Mammalia; Primates; Hominidae. The record is from RNAcentral.